Molecule: long non-coding RNA, 292 nt
Organism: Mytilus californianus (California mussel)
Lineage: Eukaryota; Metazoa; Mollusca; Bivalvia; Mytilida; Mytilidae
Exons: 2
Source: RefSeq, a predicted model, not a curated record
ACUCGUUGAACCUUCGGAUAGUCAGAACAUUUUAUUACAGUUAUUACAUUUUGCAUUGAUAAUUUGUUCAUGUUAUUUUCAAAUUUGUUUAUGAAUUGGUGAUUUUAGUUUUGAAAUCAGAGGGGGAGUGUUAUGUCACACUCCGGAAAUUACGGAUCUGUCCGUCAUUAUGUCGAAUUUUAUUUUUGAUGUCUGCCACACGGCAAAGAUAAACAAACUUUUCUUUGGUAUUCAACCCUCCACAGGUUUUUUACCCUCUCUGGAGGUCUGCAAUAAAAGAUAGUAACUCAGG